AAGGAUCAUUACCGAAUUGUCAACACGAGUUGUUGCUGGUCCUCAAACGGGGGCACGUGCACGCUCUGUUUACACAUCCACUCACACCUGUGCACCCUCUGUAGUUCCGUGGCAUGGGGGACCCUGCCCUCCUGUUGUGGUCCUACGUCUUUACACACACUCUGUAACAAAGUAUCAUGGAAUGCAUGACGCGUUUAACGCAAUACAAUACAACUUUCAGCAACGGAUCUCUUGGCUCUC
Molecule: unclassified non-coding RNA, 240 nt
Filed under: uncultured fungus
Lineage: Eukaryota; Fungi
Description: partial contains 18S rRNA, ITS1, 5.8S rRNA, ITS2 and 28S rRNA
Source: RNAcentral